Molecule: transfer RNA, 64 nt
Filed under: Andrena camellia
Lineage: Eukaryota; Metazoa; Arthropoda; Insecta; Hymenoptera; Andrenidae
Description: tRNA-Gly
Source: RNAcentral
AUAUAUAUAGUAUAAAAAAUUACAUUUAACUUCCAAUUAAAAAAUUUUCAAAAAAAUAUAUAUA